GUCUUUUUGAUUAUAAUUUAAAGUCUAAUCUGCCCACUGAUAAAAUAUUAAAGGGCUGCAGUAUUUUGACUGUACAAAGGUAGCAUAAUCAUUAGUCUCUUAAUUGGUGACUUGUAUGAAAGAUUUGAUGAAAUAUAAACUGUCUCAAUUUAAUUUAUAAAAUUUAAUUUUUUAGUUAAAAAGCUAAAAUUUGUUUAAAAGACGAGAAGACCCUAUAGAGUUUUAUAUUUUAAUAAUUUAUUAUUUUAUAUUAUUUUAAAAAUUUUAAGUUAUUAAAUUAUUUUAUUGGGGAGAUAGAAAAAUUGAAUUAACUUUUUUUAAAAUUAAAACAUUUAUUUUUGAAUAUAUGAUCCGUAAAUUACGAUUAAAAGAUUAAAUUACCUUAGGGAUAACAGCGUAAUUUUUUUUUUUAGUUCAAAUAAGAAAAAGAGUUUGCGACCUCGAUGUUGGAUUAAGAUAAAAUUUAAAUGCAAAAGUUUAAAAUUUUUGAUCUGUUCGAUCAUUAAAAUCUUACA
Molecule: ribosomal RNA, 515 nt
Filed under: Sericinus montela
Lineage: Eukaryota; Metazoa; Arthropoda; Insecta; Lepidoptera; Papilionidae
Description: partial 16S ribosomal RNA
Rfam family: Bacterial large subunit ribosomal RNA (bases 388-515)
Source: RNAcentral